AUUAAACGCUGGCGGCAUGCUUUACACAUGCAAGUCGAACGGUAACAGGGUGCUUGCACCGCUGACGAGUGGCGAACGGGUGAGUAAUGCGUCGGAACGUGCCGAGUAGUGGGGGAUAACGCAGCGAAAGUUGUGCUAAUACCGCAUACGUACUGAGGUAGAAAGUGGGGGACCUUCGGGCACCACGCUAUUCGAGCGGCCGACGUCUGAUUAGCUAGUAGGUGAGGUAAAGGCUCACCUAGGCGACGAUCAGUAGCGGGUCUGAGAGGAUGAUCCGCCACACUGGGACUGAGACACGGCCCAGACUCCUACGGGAGGCAGCAGUGGGGAAUUUUGGACAAUGGGCGAAAGCCUGAUCCAGCCAUGCCGCGUGUCUGAAGAAGGCCUUCGGGUUGUAAAGGACUUUUGUCAGGGAGGAAAUCCCUAGUGCUAAUAACACUGGGGGAUGACAGUACCUGAAGAAUAAGCACCGGCUAACUACGUGCCAGCCGCCGCGGUAA
RNAcentral lists this ribosomal RNA (500 nucleotides) under uncultured bacterium. Its description in RNAcentral is "partial 16S ribosomal RNA". It matches the Rfam family "Bacterial small subunit ribosomal RNA", at positions 30 to 523 of the family's 1533-position model. The record is from RNAcentral.